Cervus elaphus (red deer) is the source of this 567-nucleotide non-coding RNA. The record is from the annotation of a RefSeq genome assembly. NCBI's taxonomy places the organism in Eukaryota, Metazoa, Chordata, Mammalia, Artiodactyla, Cervidae.
CCUCAGUUACCUGGGCAAGGGAUCAUGAAGAGACAGUGGGGAGCCCUGCUGGGGCUUCUGUGGGUCCAGAUUUGCUGGGUGGGAGGAGUGAAGGUGGAGCAGAGCCCUUCAGUCUUGAAGCUCCAGGAAGGAGCCAACUCUACUCUGAGGUGCAAUUUUUCUGACACAGUGAGCCGUGUGCAGUGGUUCCAGCAGAAUCCCGGAGGCAGCCUCACCACGCUGUUUUCCAUAACUUCAGGGACGAAGCAGAAAGGAAGGCUGAGUUCCACAGUGAAUUUUAAGGAACGGUAUAGUACCCUACACAUCGCAGCCUCCCAGCUGGAAGACGCAGCCGCCUACCUCUGUGCGGUGGAGGCACAGUGCUCCCCGGUGAUCUGCAGCCUGUGCCCAAACUGCAGCUGCCUCAGCCCCGCCCCUCCGCAGGGCUACACCGUGCAAGUACCUUGUUACCUCUUUGGGAUUCCAGAUUCAUACUUCAGCACUUUUUUCUUCCGAAGAUCAGAUCCUUUAGGACUAUCCUUGUUGCUGAGCAAAGGAAAGCUGUCUAAUACAAGCUGCAGCACUUAG